CCUACGGGUGGCAGCAGUGAGGAAUAUUGGUCAAUGGGCGCGAGCCUGAACCAGCCAAGUCGCGUGAGGGAUGAAUGCCCUACGGUUUGUAAACUUCUUUUAUAAGGGAAUAAAGUGAGGCACGUGUCCCUUUUUGUAUGUACCUUAUGAAUAAGGAUCGGCUAACUCCGUGCCAGCAGCCGCGGUAAUACGGAGGAUCCGAGCGUUAUCCGGAUUUAUUGGGUUUAAAGGGAGCGUAGAUGGGCUGUUAAGUCAGUUGUGAAAGUUUGCGGCUCAACCGUAAAAUUGCAAUUGAUACUGGCAGCCUUGAGUACAGUUGAGGUAGGCGGAAUUCGUGGUGUAGCGGUGAAAUGCAUAGAUAUCACGCAGAACUCCGAUUGCGAAGGCAGCCUACUAAACUGUCACUGACAUUGAUGCUCGAAAGUGUGGGGAUCAAACAGGAUUAGAUACCCGUGUAGUC
RNAcentral lists this ribosomal RNA (460 nucleotides) under uncultured bacterium. RNAcentral describes it as "partial 16S ribosomal RNA". It matches the Rfam family "Bacterial small subunit ribosomal RNA", at positions 338 to 795 of the family's 1533-position model. The record is from RNAcentral.